CUACGUAGGGUGCGAGCGUUGUCCGGAAUUACUGGGCGUAAAGAGCUCGUAGGUGGUUUGUCGCGUCGUCUGUGAAAUUCCGGGGCUUAACUCCGGGCGUGCAGGCGAUACGGGCAUAACUUGAGUACUGUAGGGGAGACUGGAAUUCCUGGUGUAGCGGUGAAAUGCGCAGAUAUCAGGAGGAACACCGGUGGCGAAGGCGGGUCUCUGGGCAGUAACGGACGCUGAGGAGCGAAAGCAUGGGUAGCGAACAGGAUUAGAUACCCUGGUAGUCCAUGCCGUAAACGGUGGGCGCUAGGUGUAGGGGUCUUCCACGACUUCUGUGCCGUAGCUAACGCAUUAAGCGCCCCGCCUGGGGAGUACGGC
Molecule: ribosomal RNA, 366 nt
Filed under: uncultured bacterium
Lineage: Bacteria
Description: partial 16S ribosomal RNA
Rfam family: Bacterial small subunit ribosomal RNA
Source: RNAcentral